AGUCUUAAUAGCUAAAAGGCAUAGCAAUUAA
RNAcentral lists this transfer RNA (31 nucleotides) under Tarachaster australis. RNAcentral describes it as "partial tRNA-Thr". The record is from RNAcentral. Lineage: Eukaryota; Metazoa; Echinodermata; Asteroidea; Valvatida; Ganeriidae.